CGCAGCCGCGGUAAUUCCAGCUCCAAUAGCGUAUAUUAAAGUUGUUGCAGUUAAAAAGCUCGUAGUUGAAUUUCGGAGUUUAUCGGUUGGUCGGGCUUCACUGUCCGCACUGGCCUGAUGGAUUCCUACCUUCUGAAUAACCAGCAUGCUAUUAAUUUAGUGCGUUGGGGAAGCAGAGCUAUUACCUUGAAAAAAUUAGAGUGCUUAAAGCAGGCUUAUGCUUGAAUAGAUUAGCAUGGAAUAAUAAAAUAGGACGGCUUGGUUCUAUUUUGUUGGUUUCUAGGAUCACCGUAAUGAUUAAUAGGGAUAGUUGGGGGCAUUAGUAUUCAAUUGUCAGAGGUGAAAUUCUUGGAUUUAUUGAAGACUAACUUCUGCGAAAGCAUUUGCCAAGGAUGUUUUCAUUAAUCAAGAACGAAAGUUAGGGGAUCGAAGACGAUCAGAUACCGUCGUAGUCUUAACCAUAAACUAUGCCGACUAGGGAUCGGACGAUGUUAAUUUUUAAUUGACUCGUUCGGCGUAC
This 520-nucleotide ribosomal RNA is filed under the name uncultured Acaulospora. Its description in RNAcentral is "SSU rRNA". It matches the Rfam family "Eukaryotic small subunit ribosomal RNA", at positions 569 to 1087 of the family's 1831-position model. The record is from RNAcentral. Lineage: Eukaryota; Fungi; Glomeromycota; Glomeromycetes; Diversisporales; Acaulosporaceae.